AGUGAACGCUGGCGGUAGGCCUAACACAUGCAAGUCGAACGGCAGCGCAGGAGAGCUUGCUCUCUGGGUGGCGAGUGGCGGACGGGUGAGGAAUACAUCGGAAUCUACUUUUUCGUGGGGGAUAACGUAGGGAAACUUACGCUAAUACCGCAUACGACCUACGGGUGAAAGCAGGGGACCUUCGGGCCUUGCGCGAUUGAAUGAGCCGAUGUCGGAUUAGCUAGUUGGCGGGGUAAAGGCCCACCAAGGCGACGAUCCGUAGCUGGUCUGAGAGGAUGAGCAGCCACACUGGAACUGAGACACGGUCCAGACUCCUACGGGAGGCAGCAGUGGGGAAUAUUGGACAAUGGGCGCAAGCCUGAUCCAGCCAUACCGCGUGGGUGAAGAAGACCUUCGGGUUGUAAAGCCCUUUUGUUGGGAAAGAAAUCCAUCUGGUUAAUACCCGGGUGGGAUGACGGUACCCAAAGAAUAAGCACCGGCUAACUUCGUGCCAGCCGCCGCAGUAA
RNAcentral lists this ribosomal RNA (506 nucleotides) under uncultured bacterium. Its description in RNAcentral is "partial 16S ribosomal RNA". It matches the Rfam family "Bacterial small subunit ribosomal RNA", at positions 29 to 523 of the family's 1533-position model. The record is from RNAcentral.